GGUAUAGUUAAUCUGCCCUACACAAGAGGACAACAGUUGGAAACGACUGCUAAUACUCUAUACUCCUGCUUAACACAAGUUGAGUAGGGAAAGUUUUUCGGUGUAGGAUGAGACUAUAUAGUAUCAGCUAGUUGGUAAGGUAAUGGCUUAACAAGGCUAUGACGCUUAACUGGUCUGAGAAGAAUGAUCAUUCACACUGGAACUGAGACACGGUCCAGACUCCUACGGGAGGCAGCAGUAGGGAAUAUUGCGCAAUGGGGGAAACCCUGACGCAGCAACGCCGCGUGGAGGAUGACACUUUUCGGAGCGUAAACUCCUUUUCUUAGGGAAGAAUUCUGACGGUACCUAAGGAAUAAGCACCGGCUAACUCCGUGCCAGCAGCCGCGGUAAUACGGAGGGUGCAAGCGUUACUCGGAAUCACUGGGCGUAAAGGGCG
Molecule: ribosomal RNA, 436 nt
Filed under: Campylobacter sp. S7Wa 37
Lineage: Bacteria; Pseudomonadati; Campylobacterota; Epsilonproteobacteria; Campylobacterales; Campylobacteraceae
Description: bacterial SSU rRNA
Rfam family: Bacterial small subunit ribosomal RNA
Source: RNAcentral